RNAcentral lists this ribosomal RNA (507 nucleotides) under uncultured bacterium. Its description in RNAcentral is "bacterial SSU rRNA". It matches the Rfam family "Bacterial small subunit ribosomal RNA", at positions 30 to 526 of the family's 1533-position model. The record is from RNAcentral.
AUUGAACGCUGGCGGCAGGCCUAACACAUGCAAGUCGAACGGUAGCACAGAGAGCUUGCUCUCGGGUGACGAGUGGCGGACGGGUGGGUAAUGUCUGGGAAACUGCCUGAUGGAGGGGGAUAACUACUGGAAACGGUAGCUAAUACCGCAUAACGUCUUCGGACCAAAGUGGGGGACCUUCGGGCCUCACACCAUCGGAUGUGCCCAGAUGGGAUUAGCUAGUAGGUGGGGUAAUGGCUCACCUAGGCGACGAUCCCUAGCUGGUCUGAGAGGAUGACCAGCCACACUGGAACUGAGACACGGUCCAGACUCCUACGGGAGGCAGCAGUGGGGAAUAUUGCACAAUGGGCGCAAGCCUGAUGCAGCCAUGCCGCGUGUAUGAAGAAGGCCUUCGGGUUGUAAAGUACUUUCAGCGGGGAGGAAGGCGAUAAGGUUAAUAACCUUAUCGAUUGACGUUACCCGCAGAAGAAGCACCGGCUAACUCCGUGCCAGCCGCCGCCGUAACAC